CCUACGGGAGGCAGCAGUGGGGAAUAUUGGGCAAUGGGCGCAAGCCUGACCCAGCAACGCCGCGUGAAGGAAGAAGGCUUUCGGGUUGUAAACUUCUUUUGACAGGGAAGAGUAGAAGACGGUACCUGACGAAUAAGCCACGGCUAACUACGUGCCAGCAGCCGCUGUAAUACGUAGGUGGCAAGCGUUGUCCGGAUUUACUGGGUGUAAAGGGCGUGUAGCCGGGUUGACAAGUCAGAUGUGAAAUCCUUCGGCUUAACCGCAGAACUGCAUUUGAAACUGUUGAUCUUGAGUACUGGAGAGGCAGAUGGAAUUCCUAGUGUAGCGGUGAAAUGCGUAGAUAUUAGGAAGAACACCAGUGGCGAAGGCGGUUUGCUGGACAGCAACUGACGGUGAGGCGCGAAAGCGUGGGGAGCGAACAGGAUUAGAUACCCCGGUAGUC
Molecule: ribosomal RNA, 442 nt
Filed under: uncultured bacterium
Lineage: Bacteria
Description: partial 16S ribosomal RNA
Rfam family: Bacterial small subunit ribosomal RNA
Source: RNAcentral